AAUGAACGCUGGCGGCGCGCCUAAUACAUGCAAGUCGAGCGAGAAGACGUAGCAAUACGUUUGUAAAGCGGCGAACGGGUGAGGAGUACAUGGGUAACCUACCCUCGAGUGGGGAAUAACUAGCCGAAAGGUUAGCUAAUACCGCGUACGCUUCUUGGACUUCGGUUCAGGGAGGAAAGCGAUACCGUGGGUAUCGCGCUCUUGGAUGGGCUCAUGUCCUAUCAGCUUGUUGGUGAGGUAACGGCUCACCAAGGCUUCGACGGGUAGCUGGUCUGAGAGGACGAUCAGCCACACUGGCACUGCGACACGGGCCAGACUCCUACGGAGGCAGCAGUAAGGAAUAUUGCGCAAUGGGCGAAAGCCUGACGCAGCGACGCCGCGUGGGGGAGUGAA
Molecule: ribosomal RNA, 393 nt
Filed under: uncultured bacterium
Lineage: Bacteria
Description: bacterial SSU rRNA
Rfam family: Bacterial small subunit ribosomal RNA
Source: RNAcentral